GGGCGCAUGGUUUAGUGGUAUAAUUCCUCUUUAGCAUAGAGGCGGUCCCUGGUUCGAUUCCUGGUGUGUCCA
Non-coding RNA from Parascedosporium putredinis, 72 nucleotides. NCBI's taxonomy places the organism in Eukaryota, Fungi, Ascomycota, Sordariomycetes, Microascales, Microascaceae. The record is from the annotation of a GenBank genome assembly.